Molecule: transfer RNA, 75 nt
Filed under: Bacillus velezensis
Lineage: Bacteria; Bacillati; Bacillota; Bacilli; Caryophanales; Bacillaceae
Also listed under: 1 other name
Description: tRNA-Gln
Rfam family: tRNA
About the family: Transfer RNA (tRNA) molecules are approximately 80 nucleotides in length. Their secondary structure includes four short double-helical elements and three loops (D, anti-codon, and T loops). Further hydrogen bonds mediate the characteristic L-shaped molecular structure. tRNAs have two regions of fundamental functional importance: the anti-codon, which is responsible for specific mRNA codon recognition, and the 3' end, to which the tRNAs corresponding amino acid is attached (by aminoacyl-tRNA synthetases). tRNAs cope with the degeneracy of the genetic code in two manners: having more than one tRNA (with a specific anti-codon) for a particular amino acid; and 'wobble' base-pairing, i.e. permitting non-standard base-pairing at the 3rd anti-codon position.
Source: RNAcentral
UGUGGAGUAGACAAACUGGUAAAGUCACUAGCCUUUGAAGCUAGAGUUUUGUAGGUUCAAAGGCUACCUCCACAG